GCUGCGGUUGCCUAGUGGUUAGAGCGUCCACCUCAGAUGUAUGAGGUUGCGGGUUCGAGCCCUGGCUGAGGCA
Molecule: non-coding RNA, 73 nt
Organism: Potamilus streckersoni
Lineage: Eukaryota; Metazoa; Mollusca; Bivalvia; Unionida; Unionidae
Source: the annotation of a GenBank genome assembly